ACAUGCAAGUCGAGCGGUAGAUUUUUUAGCUUGCUAAAAAUUGAGAGCGGCGAACGGGUGAGUAACACGUUGAUAUCUGCCCCUAAGUCAGGGAUAAUCCAGGGAAACCUGGACUAAUACCGGAUAGUCUCUUCGGAGUAAAAAUUUAUUGCUUAGGGAGGAAUCUGCGGUCUAUCAGCUUGUUGGUAAGGUAAUGGCUUACCAAGGCUAUGACGGAUAACUGGUCUGAGAGGAUGACCAGUCACAAUGGAACUGAGACACGGUCCAUACUCC
RNAcentral lists this ribosomal RNA (273 nucleotides) under uncultured bacterium. Its description in RNAcentral is "partial 16S ribosomal RNA". It matches the Rfam family "Bacterial small subunit ribosomal RNA", at positions 53 to 339 of the family's 1533-position model. The record is from RNAcentral.